ACCUGCGUGGCUUAGUCAGAAGAGCAUGUGACUCUUGAUCUCAGGGUCAUGAGUUCAAGCCCCAUAUUGGGUG
RNAcentral lists this transfer RNA (73 nucleotides) under Canis lupus familiaris (dog). It matches the Rfam family "tRNA". From Rfam's summary of the family: Transfer RNA (tRNA) molecules are approximately 80 nucleotides in length. Their secondary structure includes four short double-helical elements and three loops (D, anti-codon, and T loops). The record is from Rfam by way of RNAcentral. Lineage: Eukaryota; Metazoa; Chordata; Mammalia; Carnivora; Canidae. RNAcentral also lists the same sequence under 2 other names.